UCAAGCCAGUGAUGAUAAAAGUUAUCCCUGUCUGAAAAUUAAAAACUUUGUGGAGUUAUGGUAAUCUGAGGCUUGG
Small nucleolar RNA from Cyprinodon tularosa, 76 nucleotides. RefSeq annotates it as small nucleolar RNA R38. The transcript has a single exon. The record is from RefSeq and is a predicted model, not a curated record. NCBI's taxonomy places the organism in Eukaryota, Metazoa, Chordata, Actinopteri, Cyprinodontiformes, Cyprinodontidae.